UGAGGCGUGGUGUAAUCGGCAACACGUCGGGUUCUGGCCCCGAAGACUCUAGGUUCGAGUCCUAGCGCCUCAACCA
This 76-nucleotide transfer RNA is filed under the name Planctomycetales bacterium. RNAcentral's name for it is "tRNA-Gln". It matches the Rfam family "tRNA". From Rfam's summary of the family: Transfer RNA (tRNA) molecules are approximately 80 nucleotides in length. Their secondary structure includes four short double-helical elements and three loops (D, anti-codon, and T loops). Further hydrogen bonds mediate the characteristic L-shaped molecular structure. tRNAs have two regions of fundamental functional importance: the anti-codon, which is responsible for specific mRNA codon recognition, and the 3' end, to which the tRNAs corresponding amino acid is attached (by aminoacyl-tRNA synthetases). tRNAs cope with the degeneracy of the genetic code in two manners: having more than one tRNA (with a specific anti-codon) for a particular amino acid; and 'wobble' base-pairing, i.e. permitting non-standard base-pairing at the 3rd anti-codon position. The record is from RNAcentral. Lineage: Bacteria; Pseudomonadati; Planctomycetota; Planctomycetia; Planctomycetales.